RNAcentral lists this transfer RNA (77 nucleotides) under Candidatus Peribacteraceae bacterium. RNAcentral's name for it is "tRNA-Ala". It matches the Rfam family "tRNA". From Rfam's summary of the family: Transfer RNA (tRNA) molecules are approximately 80 nucleotides in length. Their secondary structure includes four short double-helical elements and three loops (D, anti-codon, and T loops). Lineage: Bacteria; Candidatus Peregrinibacteriota; Candidatus Peribacteria; Candidatus Peribacterales. The record is from RNAcentral.
GGGGCUGUAGCUCAGUUGGCUAGAGCGCUUCCAUGGCAUGGAAGAGGUCAGGGGUUCAACUCCCCUCAGCUCCACCA